UUUGUAUGACAAGUUGAAGAUUACUUUGCAUGUUAGUCACAGCAGGAUAAUAGGACAUGUUACUCAGGAGAAGAAGAGAGUUUGCAUUUUGUGUUUUCAUAGCUGCUUUGUUUAAAGGUGGAGAAUGUGCAGAAAAAGUAACUCAACCACCUCGUGUACAAGCUCUAGAAGGCAAAGAAGUCAUAAUUUUCUGUAACCAUUCAGAAGCAGCAUCUACGAGUGUCCAGUGGUAUAAACAGGUGGCUAAUGAAGGUCCUAAAUUUGUAAUCCAGAAACAUGAUGGAAGGGAAAUGCAAGGUCGGUUUACAUUAGAAGUUGACAGAAAAGCAAUGACUGCAAACCUUACCAUAAGGGACGUAACAAUCGCAGACACAGCCUCCGUCUACUACUGUGCAGUGAGUGACACAGUAAAACAAAACCUAGCAAUUGCAGCACGAUAAAUGCUUGUGCAUAAGACAGCGCACUUUACUGUACAUAUUGCUAAAGGCAUCUUCAUUUUAUUCAAGAUAUAAUGGGAAACACUGUUCUGCAUACUUUAUUUUUUGUUCAGUUUAAGAUGUACCAUUGAAUUGUUUCCAAUUAUUUCUGCUAAUAUAAUGUUUUUGAAGACAUUACUAUGCAUGCUGCUUCUGGUUUGUAUUAGCUGGGUAACAGUUUCUGUGAAUGUUCUUCUGGUAUUUUCUGUGAUGUGUGGCUUCUUGGACAUAGGGCCUAGAUAUUGGAAAGUACAUACAUCAGCACAAUCAGGACAGUAUUAAUAUUAUUGAAAGAAACUUUUAAAACAAACAUCAGUUUAAAAAUGAUUUUACGCAACACUUGAUGUUAUGCACUGCUCAAAUCCAGGUAAAAAAGAUAAUCCCUGAGAUUUGUAACAAUUGUGUAAACUCAGUGCUUAGCCUACAUGAUAUAAGCAUGUUAGCGUGAUGAGCAGCUAUUCAAAAAUGCAUGCUGCUCAUCAUGCCUGCACAUUUGCAAGCAGCUUUUUUGGCCAGCAAUAGUGUUUGCAUACACGAAAAUGUGCUUGCAAGCAUGAGCGCAGAAUUAAAAAAAAUGGUUUGCAUACUGGCACUGCUCACAUACAAUCAUGUGCUGUAGCCCAGACAUAUUAAGGGCAAAUGCAUGGAAAGAAUACAGAAGGAGAGGAAGUGAGAUGGGGAGCUGUACACAAAUUGUGUAAUGCUGUAUAAUUAAUUAAAGUGGAAGGGGAAAUGUUUAAAUUGUACUCAGAUACUACAAGCAAAUGGGACAAAGUGUAUAGGAGGCAUUUCUGACAUUAAUCCUGCAACACUGCUGUAAUGAUAAUUUAUGCACAUAAAUAACAACGGGCAUUCUAAUAAAGGAUGUGAGAGGGACAUAAAGCUGCAGUGUAACAAAGGGAAAUGAAAAUGUGAUAUACAUGUUAGUUAAAUGUGGAGUUGAGAUAAUAGCAAGGACAGAAGACACAUUACAGGCUGAAUGCAUAGAAUGCAGUUACUGCAUAUGAGAUGUAUAUACAGGCAAUUCAUCUAUGUAAGCUGACAGUACUGUAUACAAGAACAAAAGAACAUUACAGCUCAUGUACAUCAGAAAUGGACGUCAUUUUGUAAAGAAAUGAAAGUGAUACCAAUAGGAAAGGGGUUCAUCACCUAUAAACAUGUAAUAGACAAGUAAGUGUUAUAUAAUCAUGUAAAUGCUAAAUAGUAAUCUAAUAACAAAAAACAUACCAUACAUAAGUGACAAAUGACAACUGAGAUCGGAUGACAUGUCAUGAGUCCAGUUUUUCCACUGGUGAUUUGCAGACAUCUCCAAUAUCAUAAUACUGCGCAUGCUCACAUUAAAUUACAGGGAACAAUAAAGGUAACAGCAAUUCAAUAGCAGGAAUACAAUAGAUAAUGUUGUAACAGAGGACUAAUCAUGUAGUCUAGUAGUAUGGCAUAUAGUUGGAAACAUUUUUUGAAUCCCUCAUCUGCCAUUAAGCUGCAUGGUUUGAUGAAAACAAUUGCAGUAAUAAAGACAUG
This is a non-coding RNA of Protopterus annectens (West African lungfish), 1997 nucleotides long. Lineage: Eukaryota; Metazoa; Chordata; Ceratodontiformes; Protopteridae. The record is from the annotation of a RefSeq genome assembly.